This 232-nucleotide long non-coding RNA is filed under the name Elaeis guineensis (African oil palm). RNAcentral's name for it is "long non-coding RNA (EGUI_LNC015677)". Lineage: Eukaryota; Viridiplantae; Streptophyta; Magnoliopsida; Arecales; Arecaceae. The record is from RNAcentral.
CUGCAGUUGGAGUCGGAGACGAAGUCCGGCUCCCGUAGGAGUCCGGACGAAGUUUGCCUGCAGUCGGAGAUGAAGUCCGGUUCCCGUAGGAGUCCGGACGAAGUUUACCUGCAGUCGGAGUCGGGGACGAAGUCCGGCUCCCGUAGGAGCCCGGACGAAGUCUUCCUGCAGUUGGAGUCGGAGACGAAGUCCGGCUCCCGUAGGAGUCUGGACGAAGUUUACCUGCAGUCGG